AUGUGAAAGCCCCGGGCUUAACCUGGGAAUUGCAUUUAAAACUGGUUAUCUAGAGUAUUGUAGAGGAAGGUAGAAUUCCACGUGUAGCGGUGAAAUGCGUAGAGAUGUGGAGGAAUACCGGUGGCGAAGGCGGCCUUCUGGACAAAUACUGACGCUGAGAUGCGAAAGCGUGGGGAGCAAACAGGAUUAGAUACCCUGGUAGUCCACGCUGUAAACGAUGUCGAUUUGGAGUUUGUUGCCUUGAGUGAUGGGCUCCGAAGCUAACGCGAUAAAUCGACCGCCUGGGGAGUACGGCCGCAAGGUUAAAACUCAAAUGAAUUGACGGGGGCCCGCACAAGCGGUGGAGCAUGUGGUUUAAUUCGAUGCAACGCGAAGAACCUUACCUGGUCUUGACAUCCACAGAAUCUUGCAGAGAUGCGAGAGUGCCUUCGGGAACUGUGAGACAGGUGCUGCAUGGCUGUCGUCAGCUCGUGUUGUGAAAUGUUGGGUUAAGUCCCGCAACGAGCGCAACCCUUAUCCUUUGUUGCCAGCGGUUCGGCCGGGAACUCAAAGGAGACUGCCGUUGAUAAAGCGGAGGAAGGUGGGGACGACGUCAAGUCAUCAUGGCCCUUACGACCAGGGCUACACACGUGCUACAAUGGCGUAUACAAAGGGAUGCGAAGGUGCGAACUGGAGCGGACCUCACAAAGUACGUCUAAGUCCGGAUUGGAGUCUGCAACUCGACUCCAUGAAGUCGGAAUCGCUAGUAAUCGUGAAUCAGAAUGUCACGGUGAAUACGUUCCCGGGCCUUGUACACACCGCCCGUCACACCAUGGGAGUGGGUU
This 824-nucleotide ribosomal RNA is filed under the name uncultured Orbus sp. RNAcentral's name for it is "bacterial SSU rRNA". It matches the Rfam family "Bacterial small subunit ribosomal RNA", at positions 592 to 1416 of the family's 1533-position model. Lineage: Bacteria; Pseudomonadati; Pseudomonadota; Gammaproteobacteria; Orbales; Orbaceae. The record is from RNAcentral.